This is a long non-coding RNA of Perca flavescens (yellow perch), 426 nucleotides long. RefSeq lists it as uncharacterized. The record is from RefSeq and is a predicted model, not a curated record. The transcript has 3 exons. Lineage: Eukaryota; Metazoa; Chordata; Actinopteri; Perciformes; Percidae.
UCCUAAGUGGAAUGCAGCCACCAUCAAGGGUUUUGAAUACACCUGUGAGUCUUUGGGACUAACGCUAAUCCAUCAAUGACUAGCUUAGCUGCGGUGACCGCAUGCAGCUAAGGAUUCAUAUAUAAUUAAAUACGAGAAUUGUCGAGUUACUCAAAGGCAUAUUUGCUCUUGGCGGACGGCAAGCGCCUCGUCCUCCUCUCCCUGCCAACGCAAGCUUGUCCUAUUACCCAACUCCCGGUGACAUGUUGAAGUAACUGGAUUAGCAACCGUACCAUUUAAACAACUGAAUUUGAAAUUCUACUUCAUCUGCCCAAAGAAGGAAAGACCCUUUCCUCCUCCGUGACAGUGCAAAUGUGUCAAAGUUGACUUUUGCUUCGAGGAAAGAGGCACUAAGGAACGUGGCCCUACAUAUAUUUAUAAACUUUG